This 212-nucleotide ribosomal RNA is filed under the name Kladothrips rodwayi. RNAcentral's name for it is "partial 16S ribosomal RNA". The record is from RNAcentral. Lineage: Eukaryota; Metazoa; Arthropoda; Insecta; Thysanoptera; Phlaeothripidae.
UCAUUUAAUUAAUGAAUAUAAUGAAGAUUUUAUGAAUUAAAUACUGUCUCUAAAAUAUAAAACAAAAUUAAUANGUUUGUGAANAAGCUUANUUAUUUUUAAAAGACGAUAAGACCCUAUAGAACUUAUUUUANAUUUUAAAUUUACUGGGGAAGUAAAAAUAAAAACAAAAUUAUUUUUGAAUAUAAAAACUUGAAGUUUUUUUAACCACU